CCGAAUGGCGUGACCUAAAGUCAUCAAUGUAGGCUCUGAAGCAAGAUUGCAACUUGUAGUAGGAUGAUAUUUAGUUGAAAAUCCGUUGUUUAGUGUGGAAGGCGGUAUGGCUACAGGAAGGACCGUAAGUUCCGGUCGGCACCUUUAACUUCGAUAAUAGUCGUUCCUCUCGCUUCGAACGUAAGCCGUUUGGAAGAAUGUGGUGGUGGCUGGUUCUUCGUGCCACAGGUACAGGCAUUAGGAAAUAUGGGUAGAAUAAACCCACUUCGUGUGGAACAAACAAUUUAAAAGUUGUCCUAAGCCACACCGGCUUCCCACGAGCAAUACCAGGCUAGAAAACGGUGUCAUUUCCUUCACACCAUCAAACAACGCACGCACACACACACACCCGGUGUUAUCCUAGCUCCUUAAGGUUCGUGGUACGACCGUCUUCAUUUUCGUAAAUGGAAAUUAACACAUGAUGAGGUGUUUGAGUAGUGAAAACAGGUCAACUCGAUGAUAGUGGAAACGAAUUAUUGCGGAAGCUACUAAUUCAUCGUUAAUGGUAAUCAGUUACAAAGUUGUAACUAUGACUAUGUAACAGCACAGCAUAGUAUAGGAGAGGGUGGUCGUGUUCUAAUUGGAAAAUGGCUCAAUAGUGUUGGACAUUUACUUGUUCCGAUUAAAUGAAUUCCGGGACCGGCAGCCCUGUGCUUAGGUAAUAUGAAUGAUUAAAUGUUUAAUAUAUCUCUGCUCAUGUGGCAUGCUGUAACCUUCGGCCAGGGACAUUAUCUUUGAAUAAACACAGCUCGUAACAUGCCAUGCACAA
Long non-coding RNA from Anopheles funestus (African malaria mosquito), 808 nucleotides. RefSeq lists it as uncharacterized. The transcript has 2 exons. The record is from RefSeq and is a predicted model, not a curated record. Lineage: Eukaryota; Metazoa; Arthropoda; Insecta; Diptera; Culicidae.